GGCGGCGUGCUUACACAUGCAAGUCGAACGAUGAAGCCCUUCGGGGUGGAUUAGUGGCGAACGGGUGAGUAACACGUGGGCAAUCUGCCCUUCACUCUGGGACAAGCCCUGGAAACGGGGUCUAAUACCGGAUAACACUCUGUCCCGCAUGGGACGGGGUUAAAAGCUCCGGCGGUGAAGGAUGAGCCCGCGGCCUAUCAGCUUGUUGGUGGGGUAAUGGCCUACCAAGGCGACGACGGGUAGCCGGCCUGAGAGGGCGACCGGCCACACUGGGACUGAGACACGGCCCAGACUCCUACGGGAGGCAGCAGUGGGGAAUAUUGCACAAUGGGCGAAAGCCUGAUGCAGCGACGCCGCGUGAGGGAUGACGGCCUUCGGGUUGUAAACCUCUUUCAGCAGGGAAGAAGCGAAAGUGACGGUACCUGCAGAAGAAGCGCCGGCUAACUACGUGCCAGCAGCCGCGGUAAUACGUAGGGCGCAAGCGUUGUCCGGAAUUAUUGGGCGUAAAGAGCUCGUAGGCGGCUUGUCACGUCGGAUGUGAAAGCCCGGGGCUUAACCCCGGGUCUGCAUUCGAUACGGGCUAGCUAGAGUGUGGUAGGGGAGAUCGGAAUUCCUGGUGUAGCGGUGAAAUGCGCAGAUAUCAGGAGGAACACCGGUGGCGAAGGCGGAUCUCUGGGCCAUUACUGACGCUGAGGAGCGAAAGCGUGGGGAGCGAACAGGAUUAGAUACCCUGGUAGUCCACGCCGUAAACGUUGGGAACUAGGUGUUGGCGACAUUCCACGUCGUCGGU
RNAcentral lists this ribosomal RNA (790 nucleotides) under Streptomyces sp. I07A-00515. RNAcentral describes it as "bacterial SSU rRNA". It matches the Rfam family "Bacterial small subunit ribosomal RNA", at positions 38 to 844 of the family's 1533-position model. Lineage: Bacteria; Bacillati; Actinomycetota; Actinomycetes; Kitasatosporales; Streptomycetaceae. The record is from RNAcentral.